GCUUGAGAGCGGCGGACGGGUGAGUAAUGCCUAGGAAUCUGCCUGGUAGUGGGGGAUAACGUUCGGAAACGGACGCUAAUACCGCAUACGUCCUACGGGAGAAAGCAGGGGACCUUCGGGCCUUGCGCUAUCAGAUGAGCCUAGGUCGGAUUAGCUAGUUGGUGGGGUAAUGGCUCACCAAGGCGACGAUCCGUAACUGGUCUGAGAGGAUGAUCAGUCACACUGGAACUGAGACACGGUCCAGACUCCUACGGGAGGCAGCAGUGGGGAAUAUUGGACAAUGGGCGAAAGCCUGAUCCAGCCAUGCCGCGUGUGUGAAGAAGGUCUUCGGAUUGUAAAGCACUUUAAGUUGGGAGGAAGGGCAGUUACCUAAUACGUAAUUGUUUUGAC
RNAcentral lists this ribosomal RNA (390 nucleotides) under bacterium CYB22. RNAcentral describes it as "bacterial SSU rRNA". It matches the Rfam family "Bacterial small subunit ribosomal RNA", at positions 87 to 473 of the family's 1533-position model. The record is from RNAcentral.